Molecule: ribosomal RNA, 1493 nt
Filed under: uncultured bacterium
Lineage: Bacteria
Description: bacterial SSU rRNA
Rfam family: Bacterial small subunit ribosomal RNA
Source: RNAcentral
UAGAGUUUGAUCAUGGCUCAGGAUGAACGCUGGCGGCGUGCCUAAUACAUGCAAGUCGAACGCGGGCACUUGUGCCCGAGUGGCGAACGGGUGAGUAAUACAUAAGUAACCUGGCCUUUACAGGGGGAUAACUGCUGGAAACGGCAGCUAAGACCGCAUAGGUAGGGACACUGCAUGGUGACCGUAUUAAAAGUGCUGCAAGGCACUGGUAGAGGAUGGACUUAUGGCGCAUUAGCUGGUUGGUGAGGUAACGGCUCACCAAGGCGACGAUGCGUAGCCGACCUGAGAGGGUGACCGGCCACACUGGGACUGAGACACGGCCCAGACUCCUACGGGAGGCAGCAGUAGGGAAUUUUCGGCAAUGGGGGGAACCCUGACCGAGCAACGCCGCGUGAAGGAAGAAGGAAUUCGUUCUGUAAACUUCUGUUAUAAAGGAAGAAAGACGGAUGGAGGAAAUGACAUCCGAGUGACGGUACUUUAUGAGAAAGCCACGGCUAACUACGUGCCAGCAGCCGCGGUAAUACGUAGGUGGCAAGCGUUAUCCGGAAUUAUUGGGCGUAAAGAGGGAGCAGGCGGCAGCAAAGGUCUGUGGUGAAAGACUGAAGCUUAACUUCAGUAAGCCAUAGAAACCGGGCAGCUAGAGUGCAGGAGAGGAUCGUGGAAUUCCAUGUGUAGCGGUGAAAUGCGUAGAUAUAUGGAGGAACACCAGUGGCGAAGGCGACGAUCUGGCCUGCAACUGACGCUCAGUCCCGAAAGCGUGGGGAGCAAAUAGGAUUAGAUACCCUAGUAGUCCACGCCGUAAACGAUGAGUACUAAGUGUUGGAAGUCAAAUUUCAGUGCUGCAGUUAACGCAGUAAGUACUCCGCCUGAGUAGUACGUUCGCAAGAAUGAAACUCAAAGGAAUUGACGGGGGCCCGCACAAGCGGUGGAGCAUGUGGUUUAAUUCGAAGCAACGCGAAGAACCUUACCAGGUCUUGACAUACUCAUAAAGGAUCCAGAGAUGGAUAGAUAGUUAUAUGAGAUACAGGUGGUGCAUGGUUGUCGUCAGCUCGUGUCGUGAGAUGUUGGGUUAAGUCCCGCAACGAGCGCAACCCUUGUCGUUAGUUACCAUCAUUAAGUUGGGGACUCUAGCGAGACUGCCAGUGACAAGCUGGAGGAAGGCGGGGAUGACGUCAAAUCAUCAUGCCCCUUAUGACCUGGGCUACACACGUGCUACAAUGGAUGGUGCAGAGGGAAGCGAAGCCGCGAGGCGAAGCAAAACCCAUAAAACCAUUCUCAGUUCGGAUUGUAGUCUGCAACUCGACUACAUGAAGUUGGAAUCGCUAGUAAUCGCGAAUCAGCAUGUCGCGGUGAAUACGUUCUCGGGCCUUGUACACACCGCCCGUCACACCAUGAGAGUUGAUAACACCCGAAGCCGGUGGCCUAACCGAAAGGAAGGAGCUGUCUAAGGUGGGAUUGAUGAUUGGGGUGAAGUCGUAACAAGGUAACCGUAA